UGCCACCGAAUACAUUAGCAUGGGAUAAUGGAAUAGGACCCUGUCCUCCUAUUUUCAGUUGGUUUUGGCAGCGCGAGGACUAGGGUAAUGAUUAAUAGGGAUAGUUGGGGGCAUUAAUAUUUAAUUGUCAGAGGUGAAAUUCUUGGAUUUAUGAAAGAUUAACUUCUGCGAAAGCAUCUGCCAAGGAUGUUUUCAUUAAUCAAGAACGAAAGUUAGGGGAUCGAAGACGAUCAGAUACCGUCGUAGUCUUAACCAUAAACGAUGCCGACCAGCGAUUAGGAGACGUUGAAUACAAAACACCACCAUCGGCGCGGUCGUCCUUGGCGUCUCUGUCCCUUUCAACGGGGGCAGGCGCGAGGGCGGUUUAGCCCGGUGGCACCGGUGAAUGACUC
RNAcentral lists this ribosomal RNA (392 nucleotides) under Acanthamoeba sp. BN-67-T4. Its description in RNAcentral is "SSU rRNA". It matches the Rfam family "Eukaryotic small subunit ribosomal RNA", at positions 790 to 1077 of the family's 1831-position model. Lineage: Eukaryota; Discosea; Longamoebia; Acanthamoebidae. The record is from RNAcentral.